UACGGAGGGUGCAAGCGUUAAUCGGAAUUACUGGGCGUAAAGCGUGCGUAGGCGGCUACUUAAGUGGGAUGUGAAAGCCCUGGGCUCAACCUGGGAACUGCACCUCAAACUGGGUAGCUAGAGUACGGCAGAGGAGUGUGGAAUUUCCUGUGUAGCGGUGAAAUGCGUAGAUAUAGGAAGGAACACCAGUGGCGAAGGCGACACUCUGGGCUGAUACUGACGCUGAGGUACGAAAGCGUGGGGAGCAAACAGG
RNAcentral lists this ribosomal RNA (253 nucleotides) under uncultured bacterium. RNAcentral's name for it is "partial 16S ribosomal RNA". It matches the Rfam family "Bacterial small subunit ribosomal RNA", at positions 524 to 776 of the family's 1533-position model. The record is from RNAcentral.